GGAAAGAUGAAAAGAACUUUGAAAAGAGAGUUAAAUAGUGCGUGAAAUUGUUGAAAGGGAAACGAUUGAAGUCAGUCGUACCUGCGGAUAAUCAGCCUUUAGGAUGCGAUUUUGUGGAGUGUGAGGAGCUAAUCGCCUUCAUGCCUGUAUAUUCGUGUACUUGGGGUGUACUUAUUCGUGUGGUAAGUUAACAUCAAUUUUGGUCGUCAUAAAAUGACUGGAGGAAUGUAGCUUCGAUCUCGUAUUGAAGUGUUAUAGCCUUUGGUAGAUGUGAUUAUCGGGAUUGAGGAUUGCAACGGAUACCCUUCGGGGCUACUUGUCUGAUCUCUGAUCGUUGCUCUGGUGCCGAAAGCGUGCUUACGGUUAUCAAAGUCGAUGGUCAAUAGGUUAGAAUGGGUUAAAUUCGUUAAGGAUGUUGACGUAAUGGCUUUAAACGACCCGUCUUGAAACACGGACCA
This 458-nucleotide ribosomal RNA is filed under the name Rhizophagus intraradices. RNAcentral's name for it is "LSU rRNA". It matches the Rfam family "Eukaryotic large subunit ribosomal RNA", at positions 358 to 668 of the family's 3401-position model. Lineage: Eukaryota; Fungi; Glomeromycota; Glomeromycetes; Glomerales; Glomeraceae. The record is from RNAcentral.